CGGGGCGUAGCGCAGCUUGGUUAGCGCGUCUGACUGGGGGUCAGAAGGUCGG
This 52-nucleotide transfer RNA is filed under the name Phycisphaerales bacterium. Its description in RNAcentral is "tRNA-Pro". Lineage: Bacteria; Pseudomonadati; Planctomycetota; Phycisphaerae; Phycisphaerales. The record is from RNAcentral.